AGGAUAACAAACAGUGAAAGAGACAUGAGAAAAGAGAGAUGUAACCCCUAAGGAAUGAGGAAGAGUUCAUGGUAUAGUUUAACCAAUAGAUUGCUUGGCUUACAGAAUAUUCAUAAGCUUAUUAUUUGCUGUAUAAGUGUUUGAUGUUUUCUUCAAUAAACUGGACCUUUGAUGAACCACCUGGUGUCCUGGUCCCCUUCCCUCGACAAAUGGUGACCUUGAACGUUGACCCCUCAUUUCGCACUUAAAGAAAAAGGGAGAGAACAUGCCACAGCUGAGGAAGUUGGAGCUGGGUCCUGUUUGCAGCCUGGACAGUGCCGGAAUUUUGAAGCACCCUUGGGGUUCACAUUGGUGAUUCAAGCCAUUUACGUGCUGCCGGAGCCUGGAAAGCUGCAAGAGCGCUCACGAAUAGGUAUGAAUAGGCAACAGCAUAUAAUUUAUCCGCCACGUAUUUAGAAAGAAUGGCGAAAAUUUGAGGAUAUACUGCGGGAAGCAGUGUUAGAAGAUGUAAGACAGCAAAGAAACUGAGCAAGCCAUGGCAAGUGUUGCACAAUACACUGCUUCAGCAUUCCUCUGAAUGCAAGGCA
Zonotrichia leucophrys gambelii is the source of this 587-nucleotide long non-coding RNA. RefSeq lists it as uncharacterized. Lineage: Eukaryota; Metazoa; Chordata; Aves; Passeriformes; Passerellidae. The transcript is spliced from 2 exons. The record is from RefSeq and is a predicted model, not a curated record.